This 513-nucleotide ribosomal RNA is filed under the name Lyssomanes taczanowskii. Its description in RNAcentral is "partial 16S ribosomal RNA". The stretch from base 124 to 418 matches the Rfam family "Bacterial large subunit ribosomal RNA", at positions 2074 to 2646 of the family's 2925-position model. Lineage: Eukaryota; Metazoa; Arthropoda; Arachnida; Araneae; Salticidae. The record is from RNAcentral.
GUGCUAAGGUAGCAUAAUAAUUUGCCUUUUAAUUGAAGGCCAGAACAAAAGAUUUAACAUUUUAAUUAAUUUAUCAAUUUUCACUUCUAAAUUAUUUUAAAUGUAAAAAAACAUUUAUAAAAAAGAAAGACGACAAGACCCUAUUGAACUUUACUUUAGUUUAACUGGGGUAGUAAAUUAAUUAUUAUUUUAAUAAAAAUAUAAAAAAAAAAAUCUAAUAAAAUUAAAUAAACAAGUUACCAUAGGGAUAACAGCGUAAUAAAUUUUUAUAGAUYUUAUAAAAAAAAAAGUUUACGACCUCGAUGUUGAAUUAAUUAUCUAAAACACGCAAAAGUAUUAAAAGAAAGUCUGUUCGACUUUUAAACAAUUACAUGAUUUGAGUUCAAACCGGUGUAAGCCAGGUUGGUUUCUAUCUUCUAAAAAAUUAUUUACAGUACGAAAGGACCAAAAAAAUUAAUAUUAUUAAUAAAUUGGCAGAAUAUUGCAUUAGAAUUAGAAUCUAAAUAAACAAAU